Molecule: non-coding RNA, 1249 nt
Organism: Pelodiscus sinensis (Chinese soft-shelled turtle)
Lineage: Eukaryota; Metazoa; Chordata; Testudines; Trionychidae
Source: RefSeq, a predicted model, not a curated record
CAAGGGGAAAGUGAUCCCCCUUUACGUCGGGGGGCUCCCCCUUGCGCUGACGGGAACCCGCGCCGCGUAGCACGCCGGGAAAUGCAGUUGUAAUCCUGCUGCCACUUCGGCACCGUACCCUACCCGCGGCAGGAUGGGGACUACAACUCCCAGCGUGCAUUGCGCAGCCCGUCCGGGAGCGGUCAGUUAUGUCAUCUCGCAUCGCACCGUUCGAUGGGAUAUGUAGUUUUCUUGGCAGCCGUUAGCCCGCUUGACCAACGUUACCACCCUUGUCUGGAGACUACAGAGCCGCAAAAAAGGAGCAGGAGUGGAAGAGUCUAACAACACCACGUGAUGUUCGAUACAGGGGCUUGUUAAAGGGGUAGAGGCCUUAGGCAGCCCUCCAGGAGUCCAUUGUACAGAGGGUUGUGACGGGGAAGACACUCCCCGCACUGACAACAGCGCCCCCGGCGAGGCGCAGGGCGACGCGGCCGGGUGGGACGCAGGGGAGAGCAGCCGGCAGGAAGGAAAGCCGCCGAGCCAGGAGGCAGGCAACCCCGGGAGGAACGCCGGAGGACCAGAGGAGGAGCGCUGGACCCCUGCAGCCCAGACCCAACACGGGACGACCCACCCCGGGGACCCGAGGAUGGGGGCAGGUGGCAGACGACUCUGACCCCCCCACCCAAGGAGGGAAGAGGGCCGAGCCCGCUGGAGGGCAAACCCCUGUUGCCGGCCCGUGAGUGGGGCCGAGGGUGGAGAGCCCUUCCCGUCCCCUGGCUGAGAGUAAGCCAGGGCGCUGCGGCAGCUGCCAUAGGAGCAGAGACAAAGGGACAGAGACAAAGGGGCAGAGACAGGGGGCUAGAGGCACAGGUACAGGACAUCGCAUCUCCCACUGGCGUGGAUUGAGACACCGCUUCCCACAGCUUCCAUUGGCCGGGAAUGGCGAUCAGUGGCCAACAGGAGCUGCAGUCACCUGUACCUAUGGAGGCACGGGUAAGUACAGCAGUGGUGGGUGCCAAGGGCUAACCUCAGUGAACUGGAUCCAGACCACAGGCCAGUAUUUGCCCACUACUGACCUAAGAAGAGAAUACAACAUGAGCAGGAAACGAUUAUUUGUCAUUCACAAUUUGCAAGCAUUGCACAUAAAUGCAUUUUGGUUACAUGUAGAGAAUGGAGGCUUAAAGGUAUUUUACUGUGCAAAUAGCAUUCAGUAUUUCCUUUUCUGAAUUAGUUUGACAAUGUACACACAAAGGAACCUCACAUGGGCCCA